AAAAAUUUUUCCUAACUUCACCCCUGAUCUGCACCGAAAUCCGUAAAUGUGUUCGCGUCUCAAUCUUGAUGAAUUAAGCUAGUAUGAUAAGAACAAAAUCUAAAGAGUUCUGGUUCAUAUCAAUCACCUUCAAUGUCUGCUUGAGAUAAACAAAAACACACCUUUGAUCGCGUAUCUCUUAAAUAUAAAAAAUAAUCGCACUAAAUCACUUCAAGUUUUCUUGCUUGAUGAAAUAUCAUCUUCAAUUAUACUGCAAUAUUUACUACACAAAAUCCUUUAAAUAAUUAAACAUAAUCAAAAGAGGCCAAUAAAAAUUAACAAAUCUAAGCAUCUCAAUUACUAAUCUAAGCUGCAACUUGCUGUAUCAACCAUAAUAAAAAAUAUAAAUGUCUGCAUUAGCAAAUUCACCUUUUAAUCUUUUAAAUUAAAAAACAAAAUGCCGCUGCCAAUAGUUUAUUCGUUUCUUUCUUCACUUUUGAUUCACUGCCUGGCUUAAUAUCCAAUGAUUAGUUUUUAGGUUUAAAAAGAAUAAAUAAUUAAAAUAUAACAAAAGUACACAAAUACAUAAUAUAUUUGACAUUCAUGAUUUACAUGAGUAGGCUAUAAAAUAUAACCGUUGAAUUGUUAAAAUAUUAAUCAUAUAAAUAAUUAUGAAAAUGUGUAAAAUUAUUUUAAAUAUUAAUCAUAUCGACCUUUCCUCGUAUAAAAAUGAUAUAAGUACAUAAAUAUUUUUGAAAUUUAGAUAAUACAAUCUAGUAAUGUACAAGAAUUUAAAUAUAUAAAAUACUUUUAAAAUGUUUAUGGCGCUAUAUAUACAUAUAGAAACAAAUAAAAUAAAAUAAAAUAAAAAUUGCAAAAUGAAAACCGAAACAAAUAAAAAGAAAAUGUAUUUGAUGUUUAACCCAGCCAGUGAAUCUAAAAAGAAGAAAGCAAAGAAGCUGCUUUCAAAUUUCUGAGGA
This 959-nucleotide long non-coding RNA is filed under the name Gossypium raimondii (Peruvian cotton). RNAcentral's name for it is "long non-coding RNA (GRAI_LNC007186)". The record is from RNAcentral. Lineage: Eukaryota; Viridiplantae; Streptophyta; Magnoliopsida; Malvales; Malvaceae.